GUCAACGAUCAUACCAUGUUGAAAACACCAGUUCUCGUCCGAUCACUGAAGUUAAGCAACAUCGGGCGCGAUUAGUACUUAGAUGGGUGACCGCUUGGGAACGUCCCGUGUCGUUGGCC
Molecule: ribosomal RNA, 119 nt
Filed under: Aedes aegypti (yellow fever mosquito)
Lineage: Eukaryota; Metazoa; Arthropoda; Insecta; Diptera; Culicidae
Source: RNAcentral